AAAGACGGUCUUGCUGUCACUUAUAGAUGGAUCCGCGCUGCAUUAGCUAGUUGGUAAGGUAACGGCUUACCAAGGCAACGAUGCAUAGCCGACCUGAGAGGGUGAUCGGCCACACUGGAACUGAGACACGGUCCAGACUCCUACGGGAGGCAGCAGUAGGGAAUCUUCCGCAAUGGGCGAAAGCCUGACGGAGCAACGCCGCGUGAGUGAUGAAGGUCUUCGGAUCGUA
Molecule: ribosomal RNA, 229 nt
Filed under: Staphylococcus aureus
Lineage: Bacteria; Bacillati; Bacillota; Bacilli; Caryophanales; Staphylococcaceae
Description: partial 16S ribosomal RNA
Rfam family: Bacterial small subunit ribosomal RNA
Source: RNAcentral